Molecule: unclassified non-coding RNA, 314 nt
Filed under: Coprinellus sp.
Lineage: Eukaryota; Fungi; Basidiomycota; Agaricomycetes; Agaricales; Psathyrellaceae
Description: partial internal transcribed spacer region
Rfam family: Eukaryotic small subunit ribosomal RNA (bases 1-46)
Source: RNAcentral
AAGUCGUAACAAGGUUUCCGUAGGUGAACCUGCGGAAGGAUCAUUAAUGAAUAACUUUGGCGUGGUUGUAGCUGGCUCUUAGGAGCAUGUGCACACCCGUCAUCUUUAUCUUUCCACCUGUGCACACAAUGUAGAUCUGGAUAACUCUCGCUCUUCGGAGCGGAAACAAGGAUUGCUGCGUCGCAAGGCCAGCUCUCUUUGAAUUUCCAGGUCUACGUCAUUACAAACCCCAAUUGAAUGAUGAAGAAUGUAGUCAAUGGGCUCUAAGCCUAUAAAACACAAUACAACUUUCAGCAACGGAUCUCUUGGCUCUC